CGACCCUCAGUAGGAGCUUAG
This 21-nucleotide non-coding RNA is filed under the name Arabidopsis thaliana (thale cress). Lineage: Eukaryota; Viridiplantae; Streptophyta; Magnoliopsida; Brassicales; Brassicaceae. The record is from RNAcentral.